Molecule: ribosomal RNA, 405 nt
Filed under: uncultured bacterium
Lineage: Bacteria
Description: partial 16S ribosomal RNA
Rfam family: Bacterial small subunit ribosomal RNA
Source: RNAcentral
AUUGAACGCUGGCGGCGGGCCUAACACAUGCAAGUCGAACGAGUGGCGGACGGGUGAGUAAUGUCUGGGAAACUGCCCGAUGGAGGGGGGUAACUUCUGGAAACGGUAGCUAAUACCGCAUACCAUCGGAUGUGCCCAGAUGGGCUUAGCUAGUAGGUGGUGUAACGGCGCACCUAGGCGACGAUCCCUAGCUGGCCUGAGAGGAUGACCACACACACGGGAACUGAGACAGGGUCCAGACUCCUACGGGAGGCAGCAGGGGGGAAUAUGGCACAAUGGGCGCAAGCCUGAUGCAGCCAUGCCGCGUGUAUGAAGAAGGCCUUGGGGUUGUAAAGUACUUUCAGCGGGGAGGCGUUACUCGCAGAAGAAGCACCGGCUAACUCCUGGCCAGCAGCCGCGGAAUAC